CCUACGGGUGGCAGCAGUGGGGAAUAUUGCACAAUGGGGGAAACCCUGAUGCAGCGACGCCGCGUGAGUGAAGAAGUAAUUCGGUAUGUAAACUUCUAUCAGCAGGGAAGAAAAUGACGGUACAUGAGUGAGAAGCCCCGGCUAACUACGUGCCAGUAGCCGCGGUAAUACGUAGGGGGCAAGCGUUAUCCGGAUUUACUGGGUGUAAAGGGAGCGUAGGCGGGUUAGCAAGUCAGAAGUGAAAGCCCGGGGCCCAACUCCGGGACUGCUUUUGAAACUGUUGAACUAGAGUGCAGGAGAGGUAAGUGGAAUUCCUAGUGUAGCGGUGAAAUGCGUAGAUAUUAGGAGGAACACCAGUGGCGAAGGCGGCUUACUGGACUGUAAAUGACGCUGAGGCUCGAAAGCGUGGGGAGCAAACAGGAUUAGAUACCCCAGUAGUC
This 440-nucleotide ribosomal RNA is filed under the name uncultured bacterium. RNAcentral describes it as "partial 16S ribosomal RNA". It matches the Rfam family "Bacterial small subunit ribosomal RNA", at positions 338 to 795 of the family's 1533-position model. The record is from RNAcentral.